GGCCGACUAGCUCAGUUGGUUAGAGCGUCGUGCAAAUACGGAGGUUGUGGACACAUUUGUUACCGAUGUGUCCACAGCAUCUGGUACACGCGAAGGUCUUGGGUUCGAUCCCCACGUUGGCCA
This is a non-coding RNA of Gymnopus androsaceus JB14, 123 nucleotides long. The record is from the annotation of a GenBank genome assembly. NCBI's taxonomy places the organism in Eukaryota, Fungi, Basidiomycota, Agaricomycetes, Agaricales, Omphalotaceae.